UGAAACAUCUUCGGGUUGUGAGGUUAAGCGACUAAGCGUACACGGUGGAUGCCCUGGCAGUCAGAGGCGAUGAAGGACGUGCUAAUCUGCGAAAAGCGUCGGUAAGGUGAUAUGAACCGUUACAGCCGGCGAUGUCCGAAUGGGGAAACCCAGUGCAAUUCGUUGCACUAUCGUUAACUGAAUACAUAGGUUAACGAGGCGAACCGGGGGAACUGAAACAUCUAAGUACCCCGAGGAAAAGAAAUCAACCGAGAUUCCCCCAGUAGCGGCGAGCGAACGGGGAGCAGCCCAGAGUCUGAAUCAGCUUGUGUGUUAGUGGAACGGUCUGGAAAGUCCGACGGUACAGGGUGAUAGUCCCGUACACCAAAAUGCACAGGUUGUGAACUCGAAGAGUAGGGCGGGACACGUGGUAUCCUGUCUGAAUAUGGGGGGACCAUCCUCCAAGGCUAAAUACUCCUGACUGACCGAUAGUGAACCAGUACCGUGAGGGAAAGGCGAAAAGAACCCCGGCGAGGGGAGUGAAAAAGAACCUGAAACCGUGUACGUACAAGCAGUGGGAGCACCUUCGGGUGUGACUGCGUACCUUUUGUAUAAUGGGUCAGCGACUUAUAUUCUGUAGCAAGGUUAACCGUAUAGGGGAGCCGCAGGGAAACCGAGUCUUAACUGGGCGUUAAGUUGCAGGGUAUAGACCCGAAACCCGGUGAUCUAGCCAUGGGCAGGUUGAAGGUUGGGUAACACUAACUGGAGGACCGAACCGACUAAUGUUGAAAAAUUAGCGGAUGACUUGUGGCUGGGGGUGAAAGGCCAAUCAAACCGGGAGAUAGCUGGUUCUCCCCGAAAGCUAUUUAGGUAGCGCCUCGUGAACUCAUCUUCGGGGGUAGAGCACUGUUUCGGCUAGGGGGUCAUCCCGACUUACCAACCCGAUGCAAACUACGAAUACCGAAGAAUGUUAUCACGGGAGACACACGGCGGGUGCUAACGUCCGUCGUGAAGAGGGAAACAACCCAGACCGCCAGCUAAGGUCCCAAAGUCAUGGUUAAGUGGGAAACGAUGUGGGAAGGCACAGACAGCCAGGAUGUUGGCUUAGAAGCAGCCAUCAUUUAAAGAAAGCGUAAUAGCUCACUGGUCGAGUCGGCCUGCGCGGAAGAUGUAACGGGGCUAAACCAUGCACCGAAGCUGCGGCAGCGACACUAUGUGUUGUUGGGUAGGGGAGCGUUCUGUAAGCCUGCGAAGGUGUGCUGUGAGGCAUGCUGGAGGUAUCAGAAGUGCGAAUGCUGACAUAAGUAACGAUAAAGCGGGUGAAAAGCCCGCUCGCCGGAAGACCAAGGGUUCCUGUCCAACGUUAAUCGGGGCAGGGUGAGUCGACCCCUAAGGCGAGGCCGAAAGGCGUAGUCGAUGGGAAACAGGUUAAUAUUCCUGUACUUGGUGUUACUGCGAAGGGGGGACGGAGAAGGCUAUGUUAGCCGGGCGACGGUUGUCCCGGUUUAAGCAUGUAGGCUGGUUAUCCAGGCAAAUCCGGAUAAUCAAGGCUGAGGUGUGAUGACGAGGCACUACGGUGCUGAAGUAACAAAUGCCCUGCUUCCAGGAAAAGCCUCUAAGCAUCAGGUAACAUCAAAUCGUACCCCAAACCGACACAGGUGGUCAGGUAGAGAAUACCAAGGCGCUUGAGAGAACUCGGGUGAAGGAACUAGGCAAAAUGGUGCCGUAACUUCGGGAGAAGGCACGCUGGUGUGUAGGUGAAGNCCCUGCGGNUGGAGCUGAGACCAGUCGAAGAUACCAGCUGGCUGCAACUGUUUAUUAAAAACACAGCACUGUGCAAACACGAAAGUGGACGUAUACGGUGUGACGCCUGCCCGGUGCCGGAAGGUUAAUUGAUGGGGUUAUCCGUAAGGAGAAGCUCUUGAUCGAAGCCCCGGUAAACGGCGGCCGUAACUAUAACGGUCCUAAGGUAGCGAAAUUCCUUGUCGGGUAAGUUCCGACCUGCACGAAUGGCGUAAUGAUGGCCAGGCUGUCUCCACCCGAGACUCAGUGAAAUUGAACUCGCUGUGAAGAUGCAGUGUACCCGCGGCAAGACGGAAAGACCCCGUGAACCUUUACUAUAGCUUGACACUGAACAUUGAGCCUUGAUGUGUAGGAUAGGUGGGAGGCUUUGAAGCGUGGACGCCAGUCUGCGUGGAGCCAACCUUGAAAUACCACCCUUUAAUGUUUGAUGUUCUAACGUUGGCCCCUGACCGGGGUUGCGGACAGUGUCUGGUGGGUAGUUUGACUGGGGCGGUCUCCUCCCAAAGCGUAACGGAGGAGCACGAAGGUUAGCUAAUCCUGGUCGGACAUCAGGAGGUUAGUGCAAUGGCAUAAGCUAGCUUGACUGCGAGCGUGACGGCGCGAGCAGGUGCGAAAGCAGGUCAUAGUGAUCCGGUGGUUCUGAAUGGAAGGGCCAUCGCUCAACGGAUAAAAGGUACUCCGGGGAUAACAGGCUGAUACCGCCCAAGAGUUCAUAUCGACGGCGGUGUUUGGCACCUCGAUGUCGGCUCAUCACAUCCUGGGGCUGAAGUAGGUCCCAAGGGUAUGGCUGUUCGCCAUUUAAAGUGGUACGCGAGCUGGGUUUAGAACGUCGUGAGACAGUUCGGUCCCUAUCUGCCGUGGGCGCUGGAGAAUUGAGGGGGGCUGCUCCUAGUACGAGAGGACCGGAGUGGACGCAUCACUGGUGUUCGGGUUGUCAUGCCAAUGGCACUGCCCGGUAGCUAAAUGCGGAAGAGAUAAGUGCUGAAAGCAUCUAAGCACGAAACUUGCCCCGAGAUGAGUUCUCCCUGAGACUUUAAGUCUCCUGAAGGAACGUUAAAGACGAUGACGUUGAUAGGCCGGGUGUGUAAGCGCAGCGAUGCGUUGAGCUAACCGGUACUAAUGAACCGUGAGGCUUAACCUU
RNAcentral lists this ribosomal RNA (2923 nucleotides) under Klebsiella pneumoniae 30684/NJST258_2. RNAcentral's name for it is "bacterial LSU rRNA". It matches the Rfam family "Bacterial large subunit ribosomal RNA". The record is from RNAcentral. Lineage: Bacteria; Pseudomonadati; Pseudomonadota; Gammaproteobacteria; Enterobacterales; Enterobacteriaceae.